This is a long non-coding RNA of Gavialis gangeticus (Gharial), 3673 nucleotides long. RefSeq lists it as uncharacterized. Lineage: Eukaryota; Metazoa; Chordata; Crocodylia; Gavialidae. The record is from RefSeq and is a predicted model, not a curated record. The transcript is spliced from 2 exons.
CACAGCCCUAUUGGCCACUAACUUCAGUCAGGCCAAGAUCUCACGCAAUGAAUAGUUCCAUUGAAAUGGGUGGGGCUGCUGUCAAUAUAUGAAAUUAAGCAUAUGCAAAUGUUUGCAGGUUUAAACCCAAAUAUUUAUCUAUCUUUCUGAAGCUUUAAAUCAAACAAAGCAUCUAUAAAACCUUUAUCCAUAACUAAAAUCUGUUCCAUUCUGAGGACAAACAUGGGAACUCCCCAAAGGCACACAUCACUGUUAAACAAACACAACUCUUAGGACAUUGAAAAAGCUAAAUGUCUUGUUCAUGACAACACAUCUUUCUGACUGGUGCUUACUGAUAAUACUGCAUUUGCUAGUGCAGAAUGGUUGCCUAAAAAAACACAUGUGGAAAGAGCUUGUGAUUGUGGAAUGAGAAAUGGGAAUUACUGAACUCUUCACUAAGUUCCUGAAUUGACUGUGAUCCCAUUGUUUGGUCUUCCCGGUUUGAUCCUUGUAAGCAGUUUUAUGAAUGAAACUGUGUGCGCACAAAAAGUAAGUCUAGUUGCAGAAUCAGUCUGGCAUGGUCAACUGAUCCAGGAGAAGUGGUUCAGCAAGCUUCCAUGCUAGAAGUCUGGGAGAAGGGUGAACUUGAAUGGAAUUUGAUCUGCUAUUGCAAUUAGUUGGGGUUGGCAUAAUAACCUUAAUGAUUUUGGGCAUAUGUACAGUUCCUUUUUCAAAACAAACUGCUUCAAAAUACUUUUCUUUACCUUAUUAGGAGCUAAAGUCUCUGGCACAUUUCUUAUUUAAAAUCAAUAUAGUUUUGAGUUUGAUGCAUAAUAUAGGAAGUACUUCUUUUAGGAUUACAUCAAAAAUGACUAGACACAUAGAGAGCGAACACAUGCACUGUGUAGAUUGAUUAAACGAGGGAAAUAGCAUCCUGAAAAUGCUUUUUUUUCUUGUUUGAUAACAUUAUUUAUCAGCCUUCAGUCAAUAUCUCUCUCUUUCUUCAUACAAUUUCCCGUUGCUUUUGCAAUCUGAAUUUCACAAAUAUGACUUUUUCAUAAUAGCAUUUAUUUUAAAAUGUAAUGUGUUCCUCCACCAGCAGCAUACACCACACUUUGUUUUAUACCACCUGCUAGCUAAAUGCUAGUUUUUUGUUUCUUCUGGAAAGAGGCAAAUCUUAGGUUCUAUAUAAAUGCUCUAGAUACCUACCCAGUGUUCUCCCAUUCAAACAGAGCCAUGCUUGGAGGGUCUGAGCCUGCAUCAUUCAGCCUUGAAAGAGAGGAGGAUCAAUUCCUAAUUAUCUGUAUGAGACAUGCUAUCUUUGCCAUGUUCAGACUGUCCAAAGACUUUUCUUCACAGUUUAUGUCUCUUCACUGUGUCUAAAAUUUAUAAUGACCAAGUUGAUCUGUUGAAAAUAUGCAUGUUGCCUUUCUUUGUUACACAUUAUUGUCUGUUGAUUGGAUUUAAAUUAUGUUAGAGUGGGACUAUAUUUCAUUCUGGGUACAGAGUGCUUAUCAUAAUGGAGCCUCCAGGCACUACUGUAAUACAAGUAAUAAGUUAAUAAAAAUAGAUGUUGGAAAGAAUAUCUGGGGAAGAAAGGACAUGAAACUGUGAGCAGCAUUGGACUGCGUGGCUUCAGAGCAACAGUUUUUGAGGUAGUGGGGAGACAUACUGUCCAUCCCUGUACAAUUCAGUCAGCCCCAAUAGUGAGUUGUAGAGUUUAACAAUGUGAGUUUAUUUGGGUAUGAAUAGGAUUCAUUCUAAGGCACUGAGAGGCUAAGGCCCUGGCAGACGUUAUACUUAUAUGUGAUUAACCAGUUAAUCACAUCUUCAGUAGUAACUUGGCAGCAAAUUAAUGUAAUUAAUGGUGUGAUAAGAGACAAAUUAGCCACAGAAUGAUUACACAAUAUAUGCACCGUAAUUUUGUGGCUGGUUCCCAUCAUGCCUUAAAUUAACAUGUGGUCAGUGUAUUUCUGGGCUGGGAGCAUGGAGCAGCUAACUGGUGCUCCUAGCUGCAGGUGCACUGGCUGCCCACCUGGCUUGCUGAUUGCCAGUGUAGGGGGAGCCUGGGAUCAUGAUUCCAGGGUCCCUCUGAACAGGCAGUAGGUUAUGGUAGAAUCUAAUCCCUGAACCCACAAUUGCACCUCAUGCUAUUCACUUGUGGCAUGACAGGAGGCGUGAUUGCUAGGAUUUGAUCCUAUCAUACCUCUAACUGAAUAGAUGUUAGCAGCCUAAGGGCAUAGCUAAACAUAUACCCUUAACCUGGGUUAGCCCACCUCAAUGAGCUAAGCUACUUUAGCCUAUAGUAGAGCUUGGGGUUGAACUUGGGCUUCUAUCCAGAGUUUAAAAACCCAUGGUACUGCAUCUUCACUGCUGUUAUAACUCAGUUAGGUAACUCAUGAUGAUUUUUGGUGAUGUAGAGAGCCUGAGUUGUAGUGAAACUUGAUAUAACAAGCAGUAUUUCUGCAUUUUCCAUCAUUAGUUUAUGAAAGAUCGGACUUAGCGACUUUACCUCUGUUAAAGGCUUCUGGGACAGGUGGGGAUUUCAUACAUGUAUCUAUACUCAAUCUAUACUUCUUCCUAUGUUGCCACGUAACCGUCUAUACUUGAUUGUGGCAGAGGAUGGACAUGCCAUUACAUGUCUUGCCUAAUUUAUUGUGACUAGGUAAAUAACAAACUAGAUACACACAACCAGGGAAAAAUUAUAGGUAGCCAUAUGUAACCAUAUUUUUGUGAUUAAAUGUAACUAUCUUAAAAUAACAUAUUACCAGAAAUUUACAUUGUUUUUAUGAUUUAACAAUUUACAAGGAUAUAAAAGGUAGAAUUUCUGUUAUGUAGGAAAAAUUGCCAGUAAUGUAAUUUCAGUUUCAUGGGAAAAUAAUCUUGUGUUUAAGCCUGUUUUCUCUGCCUUGAAAUUUACAAGAAGCACUUUAUCUCUAUGACUGAUUUUAGCAGGAAUUAUGUAUGAAAGAUGGACUCUAGCAAAUGAUUUGUCUGUGGACUCACACCUGCAGCCCAGAUCCAUCCUCUGCAUCCAGUUUCUGCAUUGUCCAGUUAAGCACCAGGUCCCAGCAUUGUAAAGUCCUCCAGAGUGGGAGGAUGUUCUUUCCAUGGGAAUCUGCUGGCCUCAACUACAAGAGGGUCUAUUGCUGUUGCCCCAAAGUGGGCAAUGUUUGUCAGGAGUGGAUAUGAUGAGGGCAAGCUAAGCAUGUUCUGAUUCAGCACAGCUCCUAUGCACAACUUAUUCAUGUCACAGCCCUGCUUGGAAACUCCCAAGACUGAUGUUUGUGCCCCCCGAUGCUAGAUGAAUCUGAGCAGACUGAAGUGUUGUCUCUUUCCUUGGCAUCUCAUUACAUUUUGGGGGCACAGACUGUCUGUGUGUAAUCCCUUUACAGAAAUGUAUGUUUAAGUCUAGCUGCCCAGGGCCACCAUUUUGGUGCUUGUGGUUAAGUUCAUGACCCAACAAGGUCCAGCCCCUCUAGGAUGGAAAGGGAUAGUAACAGUGUUGUUACUCAUCACCUUGGGGUAGAAGGUGAAGAAGAGAAUUGUCUCUGACUGAAAUUAGAGAGAAACAAAAUAAAAUUGUUGUACUUGGAUUCUGGCCAGAAAUUGGUACUAAGUUCCCAGUCCUUCCUUUCUUACAAGUUCAGUGUAUGUGGGUUAUACAGAAAUAAAGGCUUCACGUCAGCAGUUA